This is a long non-coding RNA of Brachypodium distachyon (stiff brome), 1230 nucleotides long. RefSeq lists it as uncharacterized. The record is from RefSeq and is a predicted model, not a curated record. The transcript has 3 exons. Lineage: Eukaryota; Viridiplantae; Streptophyta; Magnoliopsida; Poales; Poaceae.
CGUACAGUACAACGCGUGCCACAGCGUCUUGGUCGGCCAGAGUCAUGGCCUAAUCACACCCAGCUCUAAUGGUAGAUAGAUACAGACUGAUCAUUAGCAAGGGGUUAGUUAAGCCCUGAGAUUUGGCUGUAGAGUGGGCAGCCCACCGUUAGCUAUACUGGGUACCAGCUGGAGGUGUAGUGGAAAUUAUUUCUUAUUUUUCGUCGUCAAGCCUCUAUAUAACUUGGGAGUUCUGUCGAUCGAUCUCUCUCCUUCCUCUGUCCAGUCCAGUCACUCUCCACGCACAUCUGUACCUCUUCGAGCUAGACAAAUUCGGCACUGUGCCGUGGGUGGCCAGCAAGCCUCUGAAUCUGCUUCUGCUCCACACCUCCGGCAGGAAGAAGAAGAAGAAGAAGAUAGCAUCAUCCUCGACUGCGAGCUAGAUCAUCCAUGGAGAACCUCAAGGAGGGCCAGGGGGCGGCGGGGGUGAACGCGUGGAUGACGGUGCCGGCGUUCGGGGACUGGGACAUGAAGAACGGCGCGAUGCCGGACUACUCCAUGGACUUCUCCAAGAUCCGGGAGAUGCGCAAGCAGAACAAGAAGGAGCUCUCCCGCGCCAGUCUCGGCGGCGACGAGGACCUCCUCGCCCAGUCCCAGCAGCAGCAGCAGCAGCAGAAGCCCGCCAAGGCCCAGCAGCCCAAGCUCGGCCGGCCGGCAAACGACCACCGCCGGCCGCUCCACGGCCGCGACGACUCCCCAACGGGUUACGAAUGCUGAACAUCAUAGUAGUACGAGUAUAUGAUUACAGUUUCUCAGCACUUAAGCCAGUAGCAGUACUGCAGUAGGGCAUCUAGUCCUACUGUAGUAGUUUUGCUUGUUGUUUCGUGCUACUACAAAGUCAAGUACUAGGAGCAGUCAACAAACAACAGCCAUGAGGUUUUACCUGGUCAAACUCGUAUUCCGAGACACAGCUCAUUUGACCGUGGAUUGAUAGUGCAAAUGCAUGUGGAAGUGGUAGCACCCGUGUAUUGGAGCACUACUUGUUAAUAUUUAACUAACGCCUUAAUUACACACGUUUCCCCCGUACGAAGUCGUCAAACAGGGCCAGGAAAGGAAAGAACAAAGCGGAAUGACCUUUUACGGUACCCAAAACAAGUGCAAAACUCUGCAUUUGCCUGAUGAUGUUCUUAGUGCAAAACUUGUUAUGAUGAUCUGGAGAAAUAAAUACAGGCACCAAAAAGUUGAACCGCA